Molecule: long non-coding RNA, 239 nt
Filed under: Elaeis guineensis (African oil palm)
Lineage: Eukaryota; Viridiplantae; Streptophyta; Magnoliopsida; Arecales; Arecaceae
Description: long non-coding RNA (EGUI_LNC059030)
Source: RNAcentral
CGCUCGUAGUGGAAGUUCAGAGUAGACCGCUCGUAGUAGAAGUUCGACGUAGAUCACUCGUAGUGGAAGUUCAGAGUAGACCACUCGUAGGAGAAGUUUGGAGUAGACCACUCGUAGUGGAAGUUCGGCUCUCGCAGGAGCUUGGUUGGGAUCCUGAAGGCAGUCGGCCACCGUAGAAACUUAGACGGAGUCUAAUUAUUGUAGAAAUCUUGCUGUCGGAGAAGCUCGAAUAUUGACGA